Molecule: microRNA precursor, 172 nt
Filed under: Medicago truncatula (barrel medic)
Lineage: Eukaryota; Viridiplantae; Streptophyta; Magnoliopsida; Fabales; Fabaceae
Description: MIR2619 microRNA precursor family
Rfam family: MIR2619 microRNA precursor family
Source: Rfam by way of RNAcentral
AAAUCACCCCCUAAGUUUUGCAACUGUAGCAGUUUUGGCCCCCCAAGGCCAAUUUUUGGUAGAAAAAAAUAACAUGUGGCACCUCACUUAGGGUGCCACGUCAGCGUAGACCGAGUCAAAAUUGGUCUUGGAUGUCAAAACUGUCACACAUGCAAAACUUAAGGGGCGGUUU